GGGAAGAUAGGAAGCAGGGGGCUGUUUGAUGGAUGAGAAGUCAUUGGCAUAUUUGGCGUGCUAGAGAAGAGGUUCCCUAAGAGGUAAUAGUCAAGGUGGAGCUGAAGAAGCGACUAUACAGCUUUUGGAUGCAGGAAGGCAGGGAAGUAGUCAAGGUGCAUUCAGCGGUUUGACCAGAGCAUGGAUUUACGGAGCGUUAGGAUGAUGG
This 208-nucleotide long non-coding RNA is filed under the name Elaeis guineensis (African oil palm). Its description in RNAcentral is "long non-coding RNA (EGUI_LNC040565)". Lineage: Eukaryota; Viridiplantae; Streptophyta; Magnoliopsida; Arecales; Arecaceae. The record is from RNAcentral.